This 496-nucleotide ribosomal RNA is filed under the name uncultured bacterium. RNAcentral describes it as "partial 16S ribosomal RNA". It matches the Rfam family "Bacterial small subunit ribosomal RNA", at positions 28 to 507 of the family's 1533-position model. The record is from RNAcentral.
GAUGAACGCUGGCGGCGUGCCUAAUACAUGCAAGUCGAGCGAACAGACGAGGAACUUGCUCCACUUAGGUUAGCGGCGAACGGGUGAGUAACACGUGGGGAACCUGCCUAUAAGACGGGGAUAACUUCGGGAAACGGAAGCUAAUACCGCAUAAUAUAUUUAAACACAUGGUUCAAGAUUGAAAGACGGAUUUGCUUUCCCUUAUAAAGAUACCCCCCCGUCUUAACUAGUUGGGAAGGUAAAGGCCUACCAAGGGCAAGAUCAGUAGCCGACCUGAGAGGGUGAUCGGCCACACUGGACCGGAGACCCGCUCCAGACCCCUACGGGAGGCACCAGAAGGGAACUUUGGGCAAUGGGGGAAAGCUUGACGGAGAACGGCGCCGUGGGUGAGGAAGGUCUCCGGACCGUAAACUUCUUUUAUUAGGAAGGACGAUAUGGGUAAGUAACUGCGCACCUAGUGACGGUAACUACUCAGAAAGCGACGGCUAACUACGUG